CGGGUGCACUGAUCCAGCCGGGCCUUUCCCUCUGUGGAACCCCAUGGCCUUCACUGGCUGUGGUGGGGAAACAGGACUUUUACUUUGAAAAAAUUAGAGUGCUCCAGGCAGGCCUAUGCUCGAAUACAUUAGCAUGGAAUAAUAGAAUAGGACGUGUGGUUCUAUUUUGUUGGUUUCUAGGACCGCCGUAAUGAUUAAUAGGGACAGCCGGGGGCAUCAGUAUUCAAUUGUCAGAGGUGAAAUUCUUGGAUCUAUUGAAGACUAACUACUGCGAAAGCAUUUGCCAAGGAUGUUUUCAUUGAUAAGGAACGAAAGUUAGGGGAUCGAAGACGAUCAGAUACCGUCGUAGUCUUAACUAUAAACUAUGCCGACUAGGGAUCGGACGAUGUUAUUCUUUGACGCGUUCGGCACCUUUCGAGAAAUCAAAGUGCUUGGGCUCCAGGGGGAGUAUGGUCGCAAGGCUGAAACUUAAAGAAAUUGACGGAAGGGCACCACCAGGGGUGGAACCUGCGGCUUAAUUUGACUCAACACGGGGAAACUCACCAGGUCCAGACACAGUGAGGAUUGACAGAUUGAGAGCUCUUUCUUGAUUCUGUGGGUGGUGGUGCAUGGCCGUUCUUAGUUGGUGGAGUGAUUUGUCUGCUUAAUUGCGAUAACGAACGAGACCUUAACCUGCUAAAUAGCCCGUACUGCUUUGGCAGUUCGCCGGCUUCUUAGAGGGACUAUCGG
This 729-nucleotide ribosomal RNA is filed under the name uncultured eukaryote. RNAcentral describes it as "SSU rRNA". It matches the Rfam family "Eukaryotic small subunit ribosomal RNA", at positions 670 to 1426 of the family's 1831-position model. The record is from RNAcentral.